UUUACUUCUAAGGAUUUUUGGAAGUGGAGCAGAAUACUACACUAAGGAGAAUCUUGAUGCAGGGAUAGAAAGUGAGGACGAUGGUCCUUUUACUGGUUUUGAUGGUUGAUAGACCAUCUGCUGCAGGAUUUAUGCUUACUCUAUGGAGCAAGUCUCAUUUAUGUUAAUCGCUUUUAUUAUGUAUGGU
This is a non-coding RNA of Corylus avellana, 187 nucleotides long. Lineage: Eukaryota; Viridiplantae; Streptophyta; Magnoliopsida; Fagales; Betulaceae. The record is from RefSeq and is a predicted model, not a curated record.